RNAcentral lists this long non-coding RNA (276 nucleotides) under Ananas comosus (pineapple). RNAcentral's name for it is "long non-coding RNA (ACOM_LNC009793)". The record is from RNAcentral. Lineage: Eukaryota; Viridiplantae; Streptophyta; Magnoliopsida; Poales; Bromeliaceae.
AUUGCACGUCAUCAUUCAAUAAAUUGAAGUUUUUUUGAGAAAAAAACAGCAUGCUAUCCGGUUCGUUCACUUUAUUCAUAAACAAACUUAGCUGAAAGUGAGAAGCAUUUAGACUUUGAAGUUGGGGUCGACUUCUGGAUACCAGCAAUCAAGCUCUUUAUCAUCUGUAUCAGAGAGUCAAUUCAAUAAAUUUAAGUUGGAGAACAAAUUAAAAUAUCAUCUUCUUUACAAUUUAAGGACAUUUGGUGUAAUAGAAUAAAAAGUCAAAAAGUGGAA